GGAGGAAAAGAAACACUAACAGGAUUCCCCUAGUAACGGCGAGUGAAGCGGGAACAGCUCAAAUUUGAAAUCUCACAGGGUUACCUGUGCGAAUUGUAGUUUAGAGAAGCGUUUUCGGGGGCGGCUUGGGUAUAAGUCCUUUGGAAAAAGGCAUCAUAGAGGGUGAGAAUCCCGUUUAUGACCCAAUGUUCGCUCCUAUGUGAUACGUUUUCCAAGAGUCAGGUAGUUUGGGAUUGCUGCCUAAAAUGGGUGGUAAAUACCAUCUAAAGCUAAAUAUUGGCGAGAGACCGAUAGCGAACAAGUACCGUGAGGGAAAGAUGAAAAGAACUUUGAAAAGAGAGUUAAACAGUACGUGAAAUUGCCAAAAGGGAAACGCUUGGAACCAGUAUUGCUUACAGAUAAUCAGCCGCACGUCCCGAAAGGGGUGCGUGUGGUGCACUUGUCUGUGGGCAGGUCAACAUCAGUUUGGCUUGGGGUAAAAAGCCGGAGGAAGGUAGCUUGGACUUCGGUCUGAGUGUUAUAGCCUCCGGUAAUGCCUUGGGCUGGACUGAGGUCUGCAGUGUUAUUUGGAUUCCCGGUCGCCUCUUGAAACUUCAGCCUGGACAGCUUGCUGACCAGGUGAGAGCGUAGGGAGCCCGGUCGGUUUUUCACACCAGCACUUGGGAUGUUGGCGAAAUGGUUCCAAACGACCCGUCUUGAAACACGGACCAAGGAGUCUAACAUAUAUGCGAGUAUUUGGGUGGCAAACCCUUAUGCGAAAUGAAAGUGAAUUUAGGUGGGAUCUUCGGUGCACCAUCGACCGGUCUGGAUUUUUUUGAUAGAUCUGAGUAAGAGCAUAUCUGUUGGGACCCGAAAGAUGGUGAACUAUGCCUGAAUAGGGUGAAGCCAGAGGAAACUCUGGUGGAGGCUCGUAGCGAUUCUGACGUGCAAAUCGAUCGUCAAAUUUGGGUAUAGGGGCGAAAGACUAAUCGAACCAUCUAGUAGCUGGUC
Molecule: ribosomal RNA, 990 nt
Filed under: Gallinipes pseudodichotomus
Lineage: Eukaryota; Fungi; Chytridiomycota; Chytridiomycetes; Spizellomycetales; Spizellomycetaceae
Description: eukaryotic LSU rRNA
Rfam family: Eukaryotic large subunit ribosomal RNA
Source: RNAcentral